RNAcentral lists this ribosomal RNA (326 nucleotides) under uncultured eukaryote. RNAcentral's name for it is "partial 18S ribosomal RNA". It matches the Rfam family "Eukaryotic small subunit ribosomal RNA", at positions 1470 to 1796 of the family's 1831-position model. The record is from RNAcentral.
CCCUUAGAUGUUCUGGGCCGCACGCGCGCUACACUGACGAAGUCAGCGAGCAUGUCCUACGCCGACAGGUGCGGGGAAUCUUGUCAAACUUCGUCGUGAUGGGGAUUGAUUAUUGAAAUUCUUGAUCAUCAACGAGGAAUUCCUAGUAAGCGCAAGUCAGCAGCUUGCGUUGAUUACGUCCCUGCCCUUUGUACACACCGCCCGUCGCUACUACCGAUUGAGUGGUCCGGUGAGGCUUUGGGAUCUGAGCGGAAAGAGCGUUUCGCUGUUUCUGCUCGGAAAACUCAGUCGAACCUUAUCAUUUAGAGGAAGGAGAAGUCGUAACA